AAAUAUUCAUUCAUCUAGAUAAGACCAUAACGCCAUAUCGUUCACACAGCAGCAACUAUAAAAACCAACACCUCAAAAAGCAUCUCACUUCCCGAGCUCAUCCAUAAUUAAGAGGUUAACAAAUUUCCCAUGGAGACCAUGAUUACGCUGGAGAAAGAGGCUUUAGAUGAAGUUGCACGGAGCUCACUCAUAGCGAUCUCUCAGUCUAUUCCAGAGAUGAUCCUCCCAUUCACCGCUCCAUCAUUUACCAAGGUCAUAAUCGAUGCUAAUCUCUCCGAUAUUGCGAAGGAUACUAUUGGGACUGAAGAUUAUAGAUCCGAGCUCAUCUCAAUUUCCGACUCACACUCUGCUGAGCCUCAGCCACUCAAACCUUGAGCGUGAAAACUUAAAAUGUAAAAUUAAUUAGUCAUGCAAAUUCCCGCAGCACUUUUGUACAGAGCAUGCUUUCCUGUAGUCUAGCUCCAGGAUGAGGGUGUAGAUCAAACCUCAUUUCCGAUGAGGAGCGCCGGCGAGGAGCUCCGACGAGCUCGAUGUCGACGCAGGCGAAGCUGGAGGCGUAGCCCAGGUGAGCUUCGAUGGUCGCAGGCGAGCUCGAGCUCUGCGUUCGAACCCCGACCUCUGCGUUCGCCCCCCCUUUGAACUCUGAGUUCGUUCGACCUCGGCGUUUUGUUCGACCUCUGCGUUCGGCUCGGAUUUGGCGUCGAAGCGGACGCUGGCGACAGGCUGUCGCCAGCUCUCCACAUCCGCCUAUAAA
Long non-coding RNA from Asparagus officinalis (garden asparagus), 754 nucleotides. RefSeq lists it as uncharacterized. The record is from RefSeq and is a predicted model, not a curated record. The transcript has 3 exons. Lineage: Eukaryota; Viridiplantae; Streptophyta; Magnoliopsida; Asparagales; Asparagaceae.